GACGAACGCUGGCGGCGUGCCUAACACAUGCAAGUCGAACGGAGUAGCCCUUCGGGACUACUUAGUGGCGAACGGGUGAGUAACGCGUGAGAAACCUGCCUUUCAGUGGGGGACAACAGUUGGAAACGACUGCUAAUACCGCAUAAGCGCACAGAGUCGCAUGACUCAGUGUGAAAAACUCCGGUGGUAUGAGAUGGACCCGCGUCUGAUUAGCUGGUUGGUGAGGUAACGGCUCACCAAGCCGACGAUCAGUAGCCGGACUGAGAGGUUGGCCGGCCACAUUGGGACUGAGACACGGCCCAGACUCCUACGGGAGGCAGCAGUGGGGAAUAUUGGGCAAUGGGCGCAAGCCUGACCCAGCAACGCCGCGUGAAGGAAGAAGGCUUUCGGGUUGUAAACUUCUUUUGUCAGGGACGAAUAAAUGACGGUACCUGACGAAUAAGCCACGGCUAACUACGUG
RNAcentral lists this ribosomal RNA (460 nucleotides) under uncultured bacterium. Its description in RNAcentral is "bacterial SSU rRNA". It matches the Rfam family "Bacterial small subunit ribosomal RNA", at positions 28 to 507 of the family's 1533-position model. The record is from RNAcentral.